GUGCCAUGUCCGUGCCCAGGAUUCGAACCAACGAAACAUUGGGCUGCCUGUAGCGGAGCGGGUGAACUUAACCACUCAGCCACGGGGCCAGCCCCAAGAAUGCAUUCUUGAUAUCAAAAUUGAAACAUAAUAGAUAAAGCUAAAAUUCAUCUACCACGGAUGCCCCAAUCCUAGUCCUCUCUCCAGAGAAUAACUAAUUUAUCAAAACUCUGUAUCAGGAUUAUGUUCAGUAACAUGUUUCAAAAAACAAACAAAAUAAUAACAACCAGAAAACUUCAAGUUUACUUAUUUUUCAGGAAAAUAAGCCCAAAGGUAGGCAGUCCAGGGCUAGUGUGGGUUUUAGGGUCCCAGGUUCCUAGCUGGACCUAGCUAGAAUGGAAGAGUGGUAAAGAAGAGCUCAUGUCUCUGCAUUCGUUUGCUAGGGCUGCUGUGAUCAAGUACCACAAAGUGCAUGGCUUACACAAAAGAAAUUUAUUUAUUAUCUUGAUUUUUCAGGCUACAAACCUGAAAUCAAGUUGUCAGCAGGGUUGGUUCCUUCUGAGGACUGUUCCUGCCUCUCCCCUUGCUUCUGGUAAUGUGCUGGCCAUCUCUGAUGUCCUUUAGCUUGUACAAACAUCACCCACCGCACUCUCUGCCUUGAUCUUCUCUGUGUGUGUGUGUUUGUGUCCAGACUUCCCCUUUUUAUUACAGACACCAUUCAUGCUGGAUUAAGGCCCACCCUAAUGACCUUAUCUUAACUAACUACCUUUGAAAGGACCCUAUUUCCAAAUGAGAUUAUAUUCUGAGAUACUGGGUUUGGGACAUCAACAUGUGAAUUUUGGAGGGACCCUGUAGAAGUCUCUGACACCUCUUUAUUUAUAUUCUUGUGGGUUUUUUUAAGAUUUUUUUAUUAUUUCUUUUUUCCCCCCAAAGCCCCCCGGUACAUAGUUGUGUAUUAUUAGUUGUGGGUCCUUCUAGUUGUGGCAUGUGGGACGCUGCCUCAGCGUGGUUUGAUGAGCAGUGCCAUGUCCGCGCCCAGGAUUCGAGCCAAGGAAACACUGGGCCGCCUGCAGCGGAGUGCGCAAACCUAACCCCUCGGCCACGGGGCCGGCCCUUUGUUUAUAUUUUUUGGCCAGAACUUAGUCUCGUGGCCACACUUAGCUGCAAGAGGUGCUCGGGAAGCUAGUUUUUAGCUGAGCACAUGGCCAUCCCCAGAAAAGUCUGUUUUCUGUUGCAGAAAAGGAGGGGAAAAUGGAUAUCAAGACAAUAACUGGCAGCCUGCCUUGGAACGUAACCUACCAGCCAUUUUUGUGUGUGUCAAAAACAUCUCUACACACCUUUCAGUGGGCACUCGGGUGUAGGAUUCUUCAUCCAGACGGCUUCACCUCUCACUGAGCACCCACUAGGAGCCAGGCCCUGCCUAGGGCUUCACGUCUUUACCCACAAUCCUCAAAGCACCCUGUGGACAGAGGUGGCUUAAAUUAUGCCCUCUUCCCUCACUUGCACAAGGCCUUUUCAAGGCCACACUCCUAAUUUUGGAUUUGAAACUUUGUAUUCUUUUUCUUUAAAAGGAUCCCUAAAGUUAUGCAAACGUCCGAUCCUGAAUCUGUCCCUACCUACAAGGUAGGUCUUAUUAUCCUCAUUUUAUAGUUGAGGAACUGGAUGCACAGAGAGGGCAAGUAGUUUGUCUGGAGUCACAGAGCCGAUAGGGAAGUUGAGUUUUAAACCAAGGUCUCUCUAAUACCAAAAUUCAGGCCAUUUCUCCUGUGCCUUGCCUGCCAAUGGAUGCUGAAAGCACCCCAGGAUGCUUUCUCCACUGCAGAGCCUCAGACACAGCCCCAUCUGCAUGUUUGGAUUCCCUGAGGGUUGGUUGCUGGCCGGGCUGGCUGAGGCUGCUGCUCAGGCAAAUCCUCUCCUGUAAGGAGAAAACUUCUCGUGUGGAAGAACCGGAGCGGGGCUCCGUGCUCGGGGAGCACACUUGUGUUAGUUUCCUGUGGCUGCUGUAACAAAAUACCACAAACUGACUGGCUUAGAACCUCCAAAAUGUAUUCCCUCAGUUCUCGAUGUCUGAAAGCAAAGUGUCUUCCAGGCCACACUCCCUCCCCAGGCUCCAGUGGAUGGUCCUUCCUUGCCUCUUCCAGCUUCUGGAGGCCCUGGACUCCCUUGGCUUGUGGCUGCCUCACUCAGCUUCAGUCUUCACACGGACCUCGCCUCUAUCUCUAUUUUCCCCUUUUGUCUUUUUUUUUUUUUUUUUUUGAGGAAGAUUAGCCCUGAGCUAACAUCUGCUGCCAAUCCUCCUCUUUUUGCUGAGGAAGACUGGCCCUGAGCUAACAUCUGUGCCCACCUUCCUCUACUUUAUAUGUGGGAUGUCUGCCACAGCAUGGCUUGCCAAGCGGUGCAUAGGUCCAUACCCAGGAUCUGAACCGGUGAACCCCGGGCCGCUGCAGCAGAACGUGCGAACUUAACUGCUGCACUACCGGGCCGGACCCUCCUUUUGUGUCUUAUAGGCCCAUUUUGUGUUGGAUUUAGGGCCCAAUCAGAUAAUCCAGGAUGAUCUCAUCUCAAGAUCUUUCACUUCAUUACAUCUACAAAGACCCUUUUUCCAAGGAAGGUCACAUUCCCAGGUUCUGGGAUACGGACAUAUCUUUUGGGGGCCACCAUUCAACCCACUACACUCUUCAUCCCAGAGCAGCAGAUAAUCAGAUAUCUUUCCCAGGACCAGGGGAACGGGUAGGAAAAUGUGGCGAUACACACUAUCCUUCUGGUCUAUUUUAAUUAGCAAUGGCAAAAGGGACCAUGGUGGAACCGUGAGGAAAGUGCCACUUACUCCAGGAAAGCAUAAGUGGACCCAGUUGCCCGGGGUCUGCUUAAAGUUAGAGAAACUCUGAAGGUUCUGCCAAAUGUGGGCAGGUGGGGCCAGGCUUUUUCAGUAGAAUGUUAAGUAAGCUAUGCUGGUGUGUUCAUCUGCGUUUACUAUUCACCUUAGAGAGGUUCCCUCUGAAAUGAAUUUUAAAUUCAGAAGCGAAGUCAGGAGGGGCACAGGAAGACAGAGGGGUGAGAGUAACAUUCCAAUUUAUCAAGCUGUGGCCUCACUUCUUGCUUAAAGAGCAAGGUGUUGGCUAGCGGUAGUGGUGAGAGUUCCUGGUGCCAGAGUUUGGAGGUGGGAGAAAGAAAUAGUUUCAGACUUGUACCUACUGUCAUGUCUUUAACGGAUUUGAAUUCAGUUUUCAGCAAGUAUUACUGUAGCGUACAGGAUGCACCAGCUGUAAGUAGCUGAAGGAUGAGUUUAAAAAGUGUUUUAAUUUGAUUCUUUUGACUCUCACUCGGUGCUCUCUCCGCCAUAGCUCAAGAGAUGAACAUUCCUUUCCUAUGAACAUUCCUUUCCUACUUGCUGGCUCUCAUCCUGGUGAGGGAGUAGAGAUGGGAGCAGGCCCAUCUCCUACCCACCAGAGCUUGUGCUCCCGCCCAUCUGAAAGGAGAGCCUCUGCAGCAGGAGGCACGCAAUCAGCAUUUCUGUCGGCCUCCAGUAUGGGUGGGAGAAGCUGCCUAAUUAAAAUCUGCAGCGUGCCUAGAAGCCUCCACAGCUGACAGAGUUGUUUCCCGUGCGUUCUCAGCGCCCGAUGAUACAUAUUCUUCAUGUUUAUGUGGUGCGAUACGCUGUGCUCUGUGAGCAUGAAGUAUUAGUGAGCCAAUUUCUCCAUCCACGCGGCUCCAGAGCAACCGGAAGGCAUCUCUGUUCUAAUUUAUGAGGGACCAGCAUGUGCAAUCAAUAGGUGCCCCACAGGUUAUUAAAGAAGAGAAAGAUGGCCCAGGCAGCCCUGUUUACUAACAGGGAAAUGGCCUCCUGGCAGCUUCUGGCACGUGGCCUGCGAGAGAUUUACAUUUCUUUUUCAGCGCAGAAACAGGAGCCUUCCCUUUUCAUCUCAGCCCUAAGCCUGAGAGCUGGGGGCUGGUGGAGGCACAGUCUGAAAGCAUCCUUUCCAGCAACCCCAGAGCGGAGGCCAGGGGUAGGGGUCUGUAGGUGGGGGUCAGCCCCAAGCUUGAAGAAGUCCCUUUACGAGUUGAGGUCCUGGAGAACACUAGCAUCCCAGGAAGGGGUCGGGGGACUGCUGAGACGUGGGGAGUCGGCGUGAGGGGAUGGGUCAGGCCACAUGGCAAAAAGAAAUCGGCAACUCCGGCCAGGCUGCCGGAGGGGAGGUGGUCCGUGGUCAGCCUUGCCCGGCUCUGGAGAAACUCCUCUGUUUGCUUCUUUUGCCUCCUCUCCUUGUCUUGGGUCCUGUGAUUUCAGCAGUCUGCAGUUCUUUUGCAGUUUUCUUAACAGUUCUGGAGGAAGAGGGCAGGUUGGGUUUAAAGACAGAGCAGUAAUGUUUUUGGCUUAUUUGGGUAAAGGGGAAAGAAGUGUCUCCUGCAGUCCACUUUCUGGAAGGCAGAAUGGUGUGAUGUAGGGGUUCUCAAACUUUUUAGGCUCAGGACCCCUUUACAUUCUCAAAAUUUGUGUAGGUUAUGUCUAUUAGAAAAUCUAAAAUAUUUAUUAAUUAAUUAAAAUAUAACAAUAAUAGAGGCUGGCCCCAUGGCCUAGUGGUUAAGUUCAGCACACUCUGCUUUGGCGGCCUGGGUUUGGUUCCUGGGUGUGGACCUACCCCACUCAGUGGCAACCGCGCUAAGGUGGCAGCCCACAUGCAAAAAAGUAGAGAAAAACUGGCACAGAUGUUAGCUCAAGGCGAUCUUCCUAAGCAAAAAAUAAAUAAAGGAAUGAAAACAGCAAUAAUAAACCCAUUACAUGUUAAAAUAAAUAACACAUUUUCAUUUUUAAAAAACCCCAUACCUUUCAAAACAAAAAAUGUUAGAAGAGUGACAUUAUUUUACAUUUUUGCAAAUGUUUUAAAGCAGGAUAUUUAUUUGUUUAUUUAUUUUUAUUGAGGUAACAUUGGUUUAUAACAUUGUAUCGAUUUUUGUAGAUUUUUUAAGUGUCUGGAUUAAUAGAAAGUGGCUGGAUUCUCAUAGUUGCUUCUGCAGCCAAUGUGCUCAAUAUAUUGUUUUGGUUGAAGUAUAUGAAGAAAAUCCAGCUUUACACAGAUAUGUAGCUGGGAAAAGAGUGUUUAAUAGCCUUUUUAGAUAAUUGUGGAUAUUCUUUUUGAUACUGUACCGAAACAUAACAAGUUUUUUAAAGGUUAAUUGCCGUAUGGAAUGUGAAAGCAUAUCAGUGAACUUUUUGUGUUCUGCUGCAUUAAAAUCCAUUGGUUUCUUGUGCCCUUUGACUGGGUCUUUUACCCAUAUACGAUUUUGUAAUACCGUGCAUGGGUCAUUGGAAAACACUGGUUUACUGAGUUAUGCAGAUAUUCCAAAUGUUGACACAUUUCACUAUACAAUGUCAAAACAAAAUCACAUUCGUGAAUAUCAUUGUCGUUCUCAUUAGAAAAGUCCUUACGUACUGGGAAACUCAACCUCCACAACAGCAGAGCCAAGUUUUCCGAAACUCUAGUUUCACUUGGAAACUCAAAUUUUAUCAUUGGCAGCAAAUACUAUCAGUUGUUUUCCUUGAAGUGACAAGCUCCCUUUGUUCAUUUUGAGAAAAUGUCUGCCAAAUACCCGGUCUAAAAAAGCAUUCUUUGUCAUUUGGUAUUUCAAGCAAAAAAAAAAGAAAAGUUUCAUGGAAAAAUGGCUGGUUCAGCUCAUGGCUCUAUGGCCUGAGUACUUUUCCUAGAACUAAGCAUCAUGCUUCAGAAGCCAGUCAAAGUACUGCAUAUUCCCCAAUUUGUUUUACAGACUGUUUUGAAAACUGUCAAUAUUUAAUAAGAUUACUCAUUUUUACUGCUUCAUCGGGACAUUCUUAAAUGAAACAGGCAUUCGUUUUUACUGCAAGUGUGGCAAUGGCGG
Molecule: long non-coding RNA, 5856 nt
Filed under: Equus caballus (horse)
Lineage: Eukaryota; Metazoa; Chordata; Mammalia; Perissodactyla; Equidae
Description: lncRNA (ENSECAG00000054250.1)
Source: RNAcentral